GGACGAACGCUGGCGGCGUGCCUAACACAUGCAAGUCGAACGGAACUAAUUGACUGAUCCUUCGGGAUGAAGAAUUUUAGUUAGUGGCGGACGGGUGAGUAACGCGUGAGUAACCUGCCUCUGAGAGGGGAAUAACGUUCUGAAAAGAACGCUAAUACCGCAUAACACAUAUUUGCCGCAUGACAGAUAUGUCAAAGAUUUUUAUCGCUCGGAGAUGGACUCGCGUCCGAUUAGUUAGUUGGUGAGGUAACGGCUCACCAAGACCGCGAUCGGUAGCCGGACUGAGAGGUUGAACGGCCACAUUGGGACUGAGACACGGCCCAGACUCCUACGGGAGGCAGCAGUGGGGGAUAUUGCGCAAUGGGGGCAACCCUGAACCGCAGCAACGCCGCGUGAAGGAUGAAGGUUUUCGGAUUGUAAACUUCUUUUAUCAGGGACGAACUCUGACGGUACCUGAUGAAUAAGCUCCGGCUAACUACGUGCCAGCAGCGGC
This 493-nucleotide ribosomal RNA is filed under the name uncultured bacterium. RNAcentral describes it as "bacterial SSU rRNA". It matches the Rfam family "Bacterial small subunit ribosomal RNA", at positions 27 to 518 of the family's 1533-position model. The record is from RNAcentral.